Molecule: ribosomal RNA, 393 nt
Filed under: uncultured bacterium
Lineage: Bacteria
Description: partial 16S ribosomal RNA
Rfam family: Bacterial small subunit ribosomal RNA
Source: RNAcentral
CCUACGGGAGGCUGCAGUGAGGAAUAUUGGUCAAUGGACGCAAGUCUGAACCAGCCAUGCCGCGUGCAGGAUGACGGCCCUAUGAGUUGUAAACUGCUUUUGUACGAGGGUAAACCCCGAUACGUGUAUCGGGUUGAAAGUAUCGUACGAAUCAGCAUCGGCUAACUCCGUGCCAGCAGCCGCGGUAAUACGGAGGAUCCGAGCGUUAUCCGGAUUUAUUGGGUUUAAAGGGUGAGUAGGCGGUUUGAUAAGUUCGAGGUGAAAUUUAGGUGCUCAACCCCGAAAGUGCCUCUAAUACUGUUGGACUAGAGAAUAGUUGCGGUAGGCGGAAUGUAUGGUGUAGCGGUGAAAUGCUUAGAGAUCAUACAGAACACCGAUUGCGAAGGCAGCUGA